GGAGGAGUUGGUGGCUUGUAUGGUUUCUUAGGUGGUGGGGGUGGUGAGUAAACUGGUGGCUUGUAGACUGGUGUGGGUGGUGGGGGAGACUUGUAGUGGUAAGGCUUCUUGGGUGGUGAUGGUGGUGGUGGAGACUUGUAGUGGUAUGGGUGCUUAGGUGGUGAAGGUGAUGGUGGUGGGGGAGACUUGUAGUGGUAGGGGUGCUUAGGUGGUGAUGGUGAUGGUGGUGGUGGAGACUUGUAGUGG
Prunus persica (peach) is the source of this 246-nucleotide long non-coding RNA. RefSeq lists it as uncharacterized. The transcript has 2 exons. The record is from RefSeq and is a predicted model, not a curated record. NCBI's taxonomy places the organism in Eukaryota, Viridiplantae, Streptophyta, Magnoliopsida, Rosales, Rosaceae.